RNAcentral lists this ribosomal RNA (323 nucleotides) under Klebsiella pneumoniae subsp. pneumoniae. RNAcentral's name for it is "bacterial SSU rRNA". It matches the Rfam family "Bacterial small subunit ribosomal RNA", at positions 966 to 1289 of the family's 1533-position model. The record is from RNAcentral. Lineage: Bacteria; Pseudomonadati; Pseudomonadota; Gammaproteobacteria; Enterobacterales; Enterobacteriaceae.
GAACCUUACCUGGUCUUGACAUCCACAGAACUUUCCAGAGAUGGAUUGGUGCCUUCGGGAACUGUGAGACAGGUGCUGCAUGGCUGUCGUCAGCUCGUGUUGUGAAAUGUUGGGUUAAGUCCCGCAACGAGCGCAACCCUUAUCCUUUGUUGCCAGCGGUUCGGCCGGGAACUCAAAGGAGACUGCCAGUGAUAAACUGGAGGAAGGUGGGGAUGACGUCAAGUCAUCAUGGCCCUUACGACCAGGGCUACACACGUGCUACAAUGGCAUAUACAAAGAGAAGCGACCUCGCGAGAGCAAGCGGACCUCAUAAAGUAUGUCGU